UUGAUUCAUUUUUGUUUGUGAGACUCAGAAUAUGCCACUAAAUUAAACAAGAGUUUGGGUCCUCCGGCGGGCGCCUGGUUCCGGGCCGGUGAGGGCGCCGGGGCGGUCCCGCCGAAGCAACGUUAAGGUAUGUUCACAGGGGUUUGGGAGUUGAUAACUCGGUAAUGAUCCCUCCGCUGGUUCACCAACGGAGA
RNAcentral lists this unclassified non-coding RNA (194 nucleotides) under uncultured fungus. Its description in RNAcentral is "sequence contains ITS1". The record is from RNAcentral. Lineage: Eukaryota; Fungi.